UACAGAGGUCUCAAGCGUUGUUCGGAUUCAUUGGGCGUAAAGGGUGCGUAGGCGGCGCGGUAAGUCGGGUGUGAAAUCUCGGAGCUUAACUCCGAAACUGCAUUCGAUACUGCCGUGCUUGAGGACUGGAGAGGAGAGUGGAAUUUACGGUGUAGCGGUGAAAUGCGUAGAUAUCGUAAGGAAGACCAGUGGCGAAGGCGGGUCUCUGGACAGUUCCUGACACUGAGGCACGAAGGCCAGGGGAGCAAACGGG
RNAcentral lists this ribosomal RNA (253 nucleotides) under uncultured bacterium. RNAcentral describes it as "partial 16S ribosomal RNA". It matches the Rfam family "Bacterial small subunit ribosomal RNA", at positions 524 to 776 of the family's 1533-position model. The record is from RNAcentral.